This 75-nucleotide transfer RNA is filed under the name Thermoflexibacter ruber. RNAcentral's name for it is "tRNA_Glu_TTC". It matches the Rfam family "tRNA". From Rfam's summary of the family: Transfer RNA (tRNA) molecules are approximately 80 nucleotides in length. Their secondary structure includes four short double-helical elements and three loops (D, anti-codon, and T loops). Lineage: Bacteria; Pseudomonadati; Bacteroidota; Cytophagia; Cytophagales; Thermoflexibacteraceae. The record is from RNAcentral.
GCACCGUUCGUCUAGGGGUUAGGACGCAUCCCUUUCACGGAUGAAACACGGGUUCGAUUCCCGUACGGUGUACGA